RNAcentral lists this ribosomal RNA (507 nucleotides) under uncultured bacterium. RNAcentral's name for it is "bacterial SSU rRNA". It matches the Rfam family "Bacterial small subunit ribosomal RNA", at positions 975 to 1482 of the family's 1533-position model. The record is from RNAcentral.
CUGGUCUUGACAUCCACGGAAGUUUUCAGAGAUGAGAAUGUGCCUUCGGGAACCGUGAGACAGGUGCUGCAUGGCUGUCGUCAGCUCGUGUUGUGAAAUGUUGGGUUAAGUCCCGCAACGAGCGCAACCCUUAUCCUUUGUUGCCAGCGGUCCGGCCGGGAACUCAAAGGAGACUGCCAGUGAUAAACUGGAGGAAGGUGGGGAUGACGUCAAGUCAUCAUGGCCCUUACGACCGGGGCUACACACGUGCUACAAUGGCGCAUACAAAGAGAAGCGACCUCGCGAGAGCAAGCGGACCUCAUAAAGUGCGUCGUAGUCCGGAUUGGAGUCUGCAACUCGACUCCAUGAAGUCGGAAUCGCUAGUAAUCGUGGAUCAGAAUGCCACGGUGAAUACGUUCCCGGGCCUUGUACACACCGCCCGUCACACCAUGGGAGUGGGUUGCAAAAGAAGUAGGUAGCUUAACCUUCGGGAGGGCGCUUACCACUUUGUGAUUCAUGACUGGGGUG